GCCCUUGUAGCUCAGACGGACAGAGCAGGGGAUUUCUAAUCCCAAGGUCACAGGUUCGAAUCCUGUCGAGGGCG
Molecule: transfer RNA, 74 nt
Filed under: Candidatus Spechtbacteria bacterium RIFCSPLOWO2_02_FULL_38_8
Lineage: Bacteria; Candidatus Spechtiibacteriota
Description: tRNA-Arg
Rfam family: tRNA
About the family: Transfer RNA (tRNA) molecules are approximately 80 nucleotides in length. Their secondary structure includes four short double-helical elements and three loops (D, anti-codon, and T loops). Further hydrogen bonds mediate the characteristic L-shaped molecular structure. tRNAs have two regions of fundamental functional importance: the anti-codon, which is responsible for specific mRNA codon recognition, and the 3' end, to which the tRNAs corresponding amino acid is attached (by aminoacyl-tRNA synthetases). tRNAs cope with the degeneracy of the genetic code in two manners: having more than one tRNA (with a specific anti-codon) for a particular amino acid; and 'wobble' base-pairing, i.e. permitting non-standard base-pairing at the 3rd anti-codon position.
Source: RNAcentral